AGGAACUUGAAAGUAAUGAUUAACAUGGGCUUGUCUGCAAAGCAAGAGAAAGAUGAUAGGUUCCAACAAAUAAAGAGAGAAGUUGCUGAGAUGAUAAAGAUAUGUGUCCCUUCAGAGUCCAAGGUGUCUUGGUUGAAUCUUUCCCCUCUCUCAUAUUGGGAUGAUAAAGAAGUUGCUCUUUCUUUCUCUCAUAGUGGCAUUGACUUUGAAAAGAGUUGUUUAGGAAAUUUAGGUUGUGAAGAGGGAGUGAAAAAAGUCUUUGUGUCUGCGCCAUAACAUAGUUAAGUUCAAAUUCUAUAUGUUUCCAUGAAGAGAAUAAAGCAUUUAGAAUUGGUGAACCAGUUGAAUCAUGAAAAUAUUGGGUAGGAGUGGAAGACAUUGGCUUGUACCAUCAAUGUGACCAUGAAAACCAUAAAAAUGAUGGAUAUUAGAAAACAAGGUUUUCCAUAACAAAGAAUUACCGAAAUCAAGAAUGGUAAGACAUGAUCCUGAAUGUUGUUGGCUUGAAAAAUAGUAGAGACAGAGGGCAAAGAAAGAAUUGAGGAAGAGGAUGGCAGGGAACUCGAAGAAGAGGAAGAAGACAUGGAAGAAAGAAAGGAGGAUGAGAAGGCCAGCUGAGUUGAAGAAAAAUGGCAGGUUCGGUGAGAGGGGGAUGAGGUGGUGGAAGAGGAGUUAAAGUUGAUGAGGAAGGAGGAGUUGCCAUUGUUAAGGGAUACCUAGGGUUGUGAUACCAUGUGAAGAGGGAGUGAAAAAAGUGUCCCUCACUUAGGGUUGACCCCUAUUUGUAUUUCAAUAUGAAAGGAGUAUACACGUGGUACAAAUUACAAAUAUAUAAAAACUCUAUAUAAAAUAGUAUUGGAACCUAGCUAUGUUAUUGUAGGUAACAUGGAUGAAAAUUAACUAGAAAUCAAUGAUUGAUAAACUUUAACUCCCCCUCCUCUCCUUUUUUUUCAUUUUUGUCAUUCUUUUUCUCUGUAAUGCUCCAAUUGGAAUGGGCUUCAUUAGAGAAACCUUUUUAUUCUGAUGACUUGUGUGAGCUACCCGAAUCUCUGUCUUUACUCUGAUGAUUUCAGUGAGGUACCUGAUUUGUUAAGCUAACAGCCUUUUGGUCUCUGUCUUGAUCUGCAUUUUCUAUUUGUUCUGUAGCAAACAGUAUUUGGUACUUUAUGAAAUAUCUUAAAUGUUGAAUGGUGAUUCUUCAUCCCAUGCUGAUGCAUUUAUUGCUUUUGAAAACUUAAUAUAAAGAAUAAAAAUUGAAUUGAUUGUUAUUGGUAUCUUGAUAAUGUCUGAAUUACGACUUUUC
Molecule: unclassified non-coding RNA, 1303 nt
Filed under: Hevea brasiliensis (rubber tree)
Lineage: Eukaryota; Viridiplantae; Streptophyta; Magnoliopsida; Malpighiales; Euphorbiaceae
Source: RNAcentral